UACGGGGGGUGCGAGCGUUGUCCGGAAUCACUGGGCGUCAAGGGCGCGUAGGUGGUUUGAUAAGGGUGUGGUGAAAGUCCGGGGCUCAACCCCGGAUCUGCCGUGCCGACUGUCAAACUCGAGGGCUGUAGAGGCAGACGGAAUUCCGGGUGUAGCGGUGGAAUGCGUAGAGAUCCGGAGGAAGACCGGUGGCGAAGGCGGUCUGCUGGGCAGUUUCUGACACUGAUGCGCGACAGCGUGGGGAGCAAACAGG
RNAcentral lists this ribosomal RNA (253 nucleotides) under uncultured bacterium. Its description in RNAcentral is "partial 16S ribosomal RNA". It matches the Rfam family "Bacterial small subunit ribosomal RNA", at positions 524 to 776 of the family's 1533-position model. The record is from RNAcentral.